AGCUACACAACGAGAUGAGGAUGGUCAUUGUAAUUUCUGAGCUGCGAACGGGCAGAAAGCAACACAACGAGAUGAGGAUGGUCAUUGUCAUUUUUCUGAGCUGCGAACGGGCAGAAAGCAACACAACGAGAUGAGGAUGGUCAUUGUCAUUUUCUGAGCUGCGAACGGGCAGAAAGCAACACAACGAGAUGAGGAUGGUCAUUAUCAUUUUCUGAGCUGCGAACGGGCAGAAAGCUACACAACGAGAUGAGGAUGGUCAUGGUCAUUUUCUGAGCUUCGAACGGGCAGAAAG
This is a long non-coding RNA of Sycon ciliatum, 292 nucleotides long. RefSeq lists it as uncharacterized. The record is from RefSeq and is a predicted model, not a curated record. The transcript is spliced from 5 exons. Lineage: Eukaryota; Metazoa; Porifera; Calcarea; Leucosolenida; Sycettidae.